This is a microRNA precursor of Brassica oleracea var. oleracea, 125 nucleotides long. It matches the Rfam family "MIR9563 microRNA precursor family". The record is from Rfam. Lineage: Eukaryota; Viridiplantae; Streptophyta; Magnoliopsida; Brassicales; Brassicaceae.
GGAAUAUAAGAACCCGUCUCUUAACUUUUAACUAAAAAAACUAAGAACCGUCUCUUGAAUAAGAUAUUCAAGAGACGGUUCUUAGUUUUUUUAGUUAACAGUUAAGAGACGAGUUUUUAUAUUCC